UGGGGAAUAUUGCACAAUGGGCGCAAGCCUGAUGCAGCGACGCCGCGUGAGGGAUGACGGCUUCGGGUUGUAAACCUCUUUCAGUAGGGAAGAAGCGAAAGUGACGGUACCUGCAGAAGAAGCACCGGCUAACUACGUGCCAGCAGCCGCGGUAAUACGUAGGGUGCGAGCGUUAUCCGGAAUUAUUGGGCGUAAAGAGCUCGUAGGCGGUUUGUCGCGUCUGUCGUGAAAGUCCGGGGCUUAACCCCGGAUCUGCGGUGGGUACGGGCAGACUAGAGUGCAGUAGGGGAGACUGGAAUUCCUGGUGUAGCGGUGGAAUGCGCAGAUAUCAGGAGGAACACCGAUGGCGAAGGCA
This 355-nucleotide ribosomal RNA is filed under the name Micrococcus sp. Z0G. RNAcentral describes it as "bacterial SSU rRNA". It matches the Rfam family "Bacterial small subunit ribosomal RNA", at positions 355 to 723 of the family's 1533-position model. The record is from RNAcentral. Lineage: Bacteria; Bacillati; Actinomycetota; Actinomycetes; Micrococcales; Micrococcaceae.